UACAUAGGGUGCGAGCGUUGUCCGGAAUUAUUGGGCGUAAAGAGCUCGUAGGUGGUUAGUUACGUCGGGUGUGAAACUCUGGGGCUCAACCCCAGGCCUGCACUCGAUACGGGCUAGCUAGAGUUUGGUAGGGGAGACUGGAAUUCCUGGUGUAGCGGUGGAAUGCGCAGAUAUCAGGAGGAACACCAAUGGCGAAGGCAGGUCUCUGGGCCAAUACUGACACUGAGGAGCGAAAGCGCGGGGAGCGAACAGGAUUAGAUACCCUGGUAGUCCGCGCCGUAAACGGUGGGCGCUAGUUGUGGGGACCUUCCACGGUCUCUGCGACGCAGCUAACGCAUUAAGCGCCCCGCCUGGGGAGUACGAUCGCAAGAUUAAAACUCAAAGGAAUUGACGGGGCCCCGCACAAGCAGCGGAGCAUGCGGCUUAAUUCGACGCAACGCGAAGAACCUUACCAAGGCUUGACAUAUACCGAAAAGCAGCAGAGAUGUUGUGUCCGCAAGGGCGGUAUACAGGUGGUGCAUGGUUGUCGUCAGCUCGUGUCGUGAGAUGUUGGGUUAAGUCCCGCAACGAGCGCAACCCUCGUUCUGUGUUGCCAGCAUUAAGUUGGGGACUCACAGGAGACUGCCGUGGUCAACACGGAGGAAGGUGGGGAUGACGUCAAAUCAUCAUGCCCCUUAUGUCUUGGGCUGCACGCAUGCUACAAUGGCAGGUACAAAGGGCUGCAAUACCGUAAGGUGGAGCGAAUCCCAAAAAGUCUGUCUCAGUUCGGAUUGAGGUCUGCAACUCGACCUCAUGAAGUCGGAGUUGCUAGUAAUCGUAGAUCAGCAACGCUACGGUGAAUACGUUCCACGGGGCU
Molecule: ribosomal RNA, 856 nt
Filed under: uncultured bacterium
Lineage: Bacteria
Description: SSU rRNA
Rfam family: Bacterial small subunit ribosomal RNA
Source: RNAcentral